GCUUGUCUCAAAGAUUAAGCCAUGCAUGUCUAAGUGUAAAUAAGUCUAUACUGUGAAACUGCGAAUGGCUCAUUAAAUCAGUUAUCGUUUAUUUGAUGAUCUCUUACUACUUGGAUAACCGUAGUAAUUCUAGAGCUAAUACAUGCUGAAAAUCCCGACUUCGGAAGGGAUGUGUUUAUUAGAUAAAAAACCAAUGCCCUUCGGGGCUUUUUGGUGAUUCAUGAUAACUUUACGGAUCGCAUAGCCUUGCGCUGGCGACGGUUCAUUCAAAUUUCUGCCCUAUCAACUUUCGAUGGUAAGGUAUUGGCUUACCAUGGUUUCAACGGGUAACGGGGAAUUAGGGUUCGAUUCCGGAGAGGGAGCCUGAGAAACGGCUACCACAUCCAAGGAAGGCAGCAGG
RNAcentral lists this ribosomal RNA (400 nucleotides) under Clathrospora diplospora. RNAcentral describes it as "partial small subunit ribosomal RNA". It matches the Rfam family "Eukaryotic small subunit ribosomal RNA", at positions 30 to 432 of the family's 1831-position model. Lineage: Eukaryota; Fungi; Ascomycota; Dothideomycetes; Pleosporales; Diademaceae. The record is from RNAcentral.